This is a long non-coding RNA of Astyanax mexicanus (Mexican tetra), 323 nucleotides long. RefSeq lists it as uncharacterized. Lineage: Eukaryota; Metazoa; Chordata; Actinopteri; Characiformes; Acestrorhamphidae. The transcript has 3 exons. The record is from RefSeq and is a predicted model, not a curated record.
CCGGUGUGUACAGGUGAUCUGGUAGUCUGGGUGUGUGUCCUGCAGUGUGUGUGGUGUACAGGUGAUCUGGUAGUCUGGGUGUGUGUCCUGCAGUGUGUGUGGUGUACAGGUGAUCUGGUAGUCCGGGUGUGUGUCCUGCAGUGUGUGUGGUGUACAGGUGAUCUGGUAGUCCGGGUGUGUGUCCUGCAGUGUGUGUGGUGUACAGGUGAUCUGGUAGUCUGGGUGUGUGUCCUGCAGUGUGUGUGGUGUACAGGUGAUCUGGUAGUCUGGGUGUGUGUCCUGCAGUGUGUGCGGUGUACAGGUGAUCUGCUAGUCUGGGUGUG